CCUACGGGAGGCAGCAGUGAGGAAUAUUGGUCAAUGGCCGGAAGGCUGAACCAGCCAAGUCGCGUGAGGGAAUAAGGCCCUAUGGGUCGUAAACCUCUUUUGUCAGGGAGCAAAGGCGUCCACGAGUGGACGAAAGGAGAGUACCUGACGAAAAAGCAUCGGCUAACUCCGUGCCAGCAGCCGCGGUAAUACGGAGGAUGAGAGCGUAAUCCGGAUUGAUUGGGUUUAAAGGGAGCGUAGGCGGAGUGUCAGUUCAGCGGUAAAAUUUCGGGGCUAAACCCCGUCGUGCCGUUGAAACUGACACCCUUGAGUGAGUGAGAGGUAAGCGGAAUGCGUGGUGUAGCGGUGAAAUGCAUAGAUAUCACGCAGAACGCCGAUGGCGAAGGCAGCUUACCGGCGCUCAACUGACGCUGAGGCACGAAAGUGCGGGGAUCGAACAGGAUUAGAUACCCGGGUAGUC
Molecule: ribosomal RNA, 460 nt
Filed under: uncultured bacterium
Lineage: Bacteria
Description: partial 16S ribosomal RNA
Rfam family: Bacterial small subunit ribosomal RNA
Source: RNAcentral